GAUGAACGCUGGCGGCGUGCCUAAUACAUGCGAGUCGAGCGAACAGACGAGGAGCUUGCUCCUCUGACGUUAGCGGCGGACGGGUGAGUAACACGUGGAUAACCUACCUAUAAGACUGGGAUAACUUCGGGAAACCGGAGCUAAUACCGGAUAAUAUAUUGAACCGCAUGGUUCAAUAGUGAAAGACGGUUUUGCUGUCACUUAUAGAUGGAUCCGCGCCGCAUUAGCUAGUUGGUAAGGUAACGGCUUACCAAGGCAACGAUGCGUAGCCGACCUGAGAGGGUGAUCGGCCACACUGGAACUGAGACACGGUCCAGACUCCUACGGGAGGCAGCAGUAGGGAAUCUUCCGCAAUGGGCGAAAGCCUGACGGAGCAACGCCGCGUGAGUGAUGAAGGUCUUCGGAUCGUAAAACUCUGUUAUUAGGGAAGAAUAAAUGUGUAAGUAACUAUGCACGUCUUGACGGUACCUAAUCAGAAAGCCACGGCUAACUACGUG
RNAcentral lists this ribosomal RNA (497 nucleotides) under uncultured bacterium. Its description in RNAcentral is "partial 16S ribosomal RNA". It matches the Rfam family "Bacterial small subunit ribosomal RNA", at positions 28 to 507 of the family's 1533-position model. The record is from RNAcentral.